RNAcentral lists this non-coding RNA (23 nucleotides) under Cricetulus griseus (Chinese hamster). Lineage: Eukaryota; Metazoa; Chordata; Mammalia; Rodentia; Cricetidae. The record is from RNAcentral.
UGAAGAAUGUGGAGGCUUGGACA